RNAcentral lists this long non-coding RNA (833 nucleotides) under Marmota monax (woodchuck). Lineage: Eukaryota; Metazoa; Chordata; Mammalia; Rodentia; Sciuridae. The record is from RNAcentral.
UGAGUGUUGGGUAUGAGUGUUCAGUAAUUGAGAUUAGAUGGCAUAUUUGUUCUGUGCAGGAUGGCACUUGUGUUGACUGACCCGCAUCCCUGCAUUUCCCAUGGAUAUCAAGCAGUCAUGCAGCUCAUCCAAGUUGUACCUGAAUCCACGUAGAGAGAAAAGGUCCAAAGCAAUCGGAAAAUCCUACUUCUCUUGUUGGUGUUGGGGAACUCAGGUGUCAGCCAAACAACGCGGCGCACCCCCCUGGUGGCAGUUUUAGGGCGUAUAACCUACAUGGCCUAGUCCAACACCAUGGAAUUUCACUGGGCAGAGGUGGGUCCUUGUGCAGGAUACAAACAAGAAGACAAGUAGUUUUGAUCAAAACUAGUAAUUAUCUUAAAACCAUGAGGUUGGAAGCCACUUUAGAUUAAAAAUGUUCCUGGAACAAUGGACAGAACAAAACAUCAAUGCUAAUGACCGAGAAAAACAGAUAGUUCAUUCUACUUUGGACUGUCUGCUAUGUAGGCCCCCCAAUUCCCAUUUUAUUUAGUCAAAUUUGAAUUUGCUUUUAUGUAAAAUGCAGCCAAAAUUACCAUUUUAGAUAAAUUUUAUUGUGCAUAUUUGAGAUUUACAACACACUAGUACUGGAGACAUAGAUAAUAAAGUGGUUAUUAUAGUGAAAUAAAUUGGGGUAAAACUUUGUUUCCCUAACAUGAAACAGUUGCCAAGAACAGUUAAGUAAUAUUCAUUACAUUAAAACAAAUACUUGAGUUGUUUAUUGAUUUACUUAUUUUUACUUUUUAAUGUUACAUUGAAGCACAUACAAGAGGAAGUGAGGAGAAAGGGAAAAAAAA